UCCUCUCCCCCCGGUGCGUAUCUUCCUCGCCACAGCCACCUCCCGUGAUGCCCCCAGCCCCAAACCGGCGGCGAUGCUGCCCCACCUUCCUACCGACCUCGGCCAACUCUCCUCCCUUCCUCCGACCACCACCGGAAUUCUACCUCCCCUGGCGCGCCGAUCCGCCUCCACCCUCAACGCUGUAGCACCGCCAUGGGUUGGAUCCGGCAAGAUCUGACACGCCGGAGCCCUCCUCCCAACGCCUUCUUCUCCGACGACGCGCCACAUGCCCCAGACUGGCGCCGACGCAGCCCCAGGCCUAGCUUCUCCCUAUCAGCACCGUCCUGGUCCCCGCCGCGUCGGCCUCUCGCCGGUUUAGUGCAUCUCGCGGCCGGCCCUCGAGGAUUCUGACCGGCUAUGGGGUCCCUGCUCGCGCACCCCUCGGGACCCUUUGCAGUCCUGAACUCCCUGGCCACGCAAUCCUCACGCAGCCUUCCCAGGGAUGUGGAUUGGAUUGAGGGGGUGUCCACAAUCUUUGGGGUCUGAUGCGGGAGGGCAUGGACUGUCGAUCUGCUCCACAACUCAGCGGGUGGCAGUGCAAGAAGCAGCAGAUGGGAUUUGAUGAUGUCCAGGGCAUGGAUGAGGCCAAGCAGGAGCUUGUUGAGGAGCACGAGGUUCUUCAAGUCAGAGUGCAUUGCAGCUAGUGAUGAGAAGGAUUUGCUUGACAUUUGGACGUGACUUUGCUAGUGUUAGGGACCAGGGCACAACCCUUAGCUGUCCAAAGAGAGAGGUGGCGCAGGGGAGGUGGUACAGGAAGGGGGAUUGGAAACUGACCUUCAAGUGCUGAUGGAGUGGGUUGAUGGAUCCUCAAACCUCCCGAGUGGCUGGCUAUUAGCUUUCCUGUUGCAGAAAAAAGGGAGUUGCUUGAAAGUUAUAUACAAAUUGCCUUAAUUACAUGAAGACUUUCUUUUGAUUUCCCCUUCUCCUUUUCUGAUUAGCUGGCUGCAUAAAUAGGUUUUCAACUCAUAAAAUUUGCCUACACUGCAAGUACAAAUUGCCCAAGCAGUAAACAAAACAAAAGAAAACUAUCCCUACUGUUGAUUUUGUUUUCAAAAACAAAAGUUGCAUGCAAGCAUUAUGAAAUUGCCUAACUUGUGUGCUCAACCCGACUUUUUUUUCAAAUAGACUUAGAAUGCUUGGGCUAGAUAUGUAAAUCGUGAUAGGCGAUCUAUUGCAAAGUUGCUUAUUGUAGCAUCAAAGUUGCCCCAUAUAGCAUCAAAGUUGCUUGAAAAAAAUGUUCAUCAAAACAUACCCAUAUGGGAUCUUAUUUUGAAGAGGUCGUGAGAAUCCUAUUGGUGAAAACGGAACUUAAUUUCGACGCUCAGUUUAAAAGCUAUAGCCUUUUGAAUUUUUUAAAAGGGAAUUAAAUGCAUUUGAUGCAUUUGCUAACUUGUGUGCUCAAUCCGAUUUGCAGGAAGGAGUCGUAGUAUGAUGGAACCACGUGUGAGACAGAAAUCUUCUCUAUUAAGGGCCACAUGGGACAAGGGCAUCCUUUCCUUUUUAAGACAGCACGGACAUAGACUUACUUUAUUUGGGUGUGUGCUCCAAACGACUAGUCAGCCAACGGGUGUUGGCUAGGCAUGUCCUAUCGCAAUAAGCACGGAUCAGGCGGAUACAUGUGACUUCGAUCCAUUUCCCUUUACUUUGAAUUUCAGUUCAUUUGUUUGUAUAC
Triticum aestivum (bread wheat) is the source of this 1711-nucleotide long non-coding RNA. RefSeq lists it as uncharacterized. NCBI's taxonomy places the organism in Eukaryota, Viridiplantae, Streptophyta, Magnoliopsida, Poales, Poaceae. The transcript is spliced from 3 exons. The record is from RefSeq and is a predicted model, not a curated record.